Molecule: ribosomal RNA, 617 nt
Filed under: Candidatus Poseidoniia archaeon
Lineage: Archaea; Methanobacteriati; Thermoplasmatota; Candidatus Poseidoniia
Description: partial 23S ribosomal RNA
Rfam family: Archaeal large subunit ribosomal RNA
Source: RNAcentral
UACAAGCAGUUACUACGCCACCUGGUGGAUGACUGGGCUCGGUUGCCGAAGAAGGUCGUGCCAAGCAGCGAUAUGCUUCGGGGAGGCGCAUGGAACCUUUGAUCCGAAGAUGGCCGAAUGGGACUUCCUAGACCUAAGUCUAAUCCUUCACAGGAUGGGGAACGCCCCGAAUUGAAACAUCUUAGUAGGGGCAGGAAAAGAAAUCAAACGAGAUGGGGUAAGUAAAGGCGAUCGAACACCCCACAGGGCAAACCGAAUCCCGCAGCGAGAGUUGCGGGAGAUGUGGAUGGCCCGGUUACGUCCCAACUCUCAUAUCCGAAGUUCGUGUGGAACGCCGGUGCCAGAGAGGGUGACAGCCCCGUAGGAGAAAGAGAGCAGGACGAUUUCCGGGACCCAAGAGUAGCGUGCGUUGGAUAUCGCGCGUGAAUAUGGGAGGUACUAACUUCCAACCCUGAAUACAAACCGAGACCGAUAGCGUACUAGUAGCGUGAGCGAAAGUUGUAAAGCAUCCCUAGCGGGAGAAUAGCAAGACCCUGAAAUCAGGUGGUUACAGACUGAUACGGCGUGCAAGGGAAGAGGCGGUUACACCACCGCUGACCGGCGUCGUAUCGUCCGAU